This 375-nucleotide transfer-messenger RNA is filed under the name Candidatus Marinamargulisbacteria. RNAcentral describes it as "DT-59 sp013215865 Standard tmRNA". It matches the Rfam family "transfer-messenger RNA". From Rfam's summary of the family: Bacterial tmRNA, also known as 10Sa RNA or SsrA, is named for its dual tRNA and mRNA-like properties. The record is from RNAcentral. Lineage: Bacteria; Bacillati; Candidatus Margulisiibacteriota. RNAcentral also lists the same sequence under 2 other names.
GGGGGUGAAUUUGGAUUCGACGGGAAAGACCUUAGGGUUAAAACGCGAGCCGAGGAGCUGCCAGGCCUCGUCAAAAGGCAGACCUAAACACAAAUGACAAAACAUUUGUACACAGCGGAAACGCUGAAUUACUCGUAGCUUAAUUAAGCUAUGAGCGUCUCCCACCUCAUGUCGGUGGAGGUGACGUGACGAUCAUUUACCGACUGGUCUUGUGGUUUUGAUUGGGGGCUAUGAGAUGAGACUAUACCCGGUCUCGCUUCUUAUCUCGCCUGUUCUUGGGCGUAUGAGAAGUUAAAACCUAAACAAGAACUACGCUCGUAGUGGGUUAAUUCAAAGCUUUUUCGGACACCGGUUCGACUCCGGUCACCUCCACCA